AGUGUAUUACAUUCCUGUUUAGUGAUGUCCAGUGUAUUACAUUCCUGUUUAGUGAUGUUCGGUUUUGGUUUCUUGUCAUUCCUGAGAACAGAGUAAGUUUCAUGUCGAAACUGUUCAGCCACUGGUAUCGGGAGACGUUUUUACAAUAUACAGUUGCCGUCUAUUCUAGUUUAUCCAACAUGAAUCUCUGCCAAUACAAUCUAUCCAAUACGUUUUCUAAUAUAUGUAACAUUUUAUAACUCAUUAAGUUUUAUUUUAGAGUUUAAUUUCUGAACAAAAUCCGCUGACUACCAAGACCAAUGGAUUUUCCAUUAAAAAGGCCUAUUACAAGGGAUCAGUCGUCGCUCUGAAGUCCAUUACCAAGUCCAGAAUAGAGCUUCACCGACCACUUCUGUUGGAGUUAAAAAGGAUGAAAGACUUACAACACAACCACGUUGUUCGUUUUAUCGGGGCAUGCGUUGAUCCUCCACGUGGCUGCUUGCUUGUAGAAUACUGCCAAAGAGGAAGCUUGGAGGCUAUCUUAAUGCAUGAUGA
Molecule: long non-coding RNA, 534 nt
Organism: Limulus polyphemus (Atlantic horseshoe crab)
Lineage: Eukaryota; Metazoa; Arthropoda; Merostomata; Xiphosura; Limulidae
Exons: 6
Source: RefSeq, a predicted model, not a curated record